This 403-nucleotide ribosomal RNA is filed under the name uncultured bacterium. RNAcentral's name for it is "partial 16S ribosomal RNA". It matches the Rfam family "Bacterial small subunit ribosomal RNA", at positions 28 to 526 of the family's 1533-position model. The record is from RNAcentral.
GACGAACGCUGGCGGCGUGCCUAAUACAUGCAAGUCGAACGCAGUGGGGCCGGGUGAGUAACACGUGGCUAACCUCCCAUCAGAGGGGAUAACCCUUGGCAACAGGUGCUAAACCGCUACUGAUGGAUGGACCCGCGGGGCAUUAGCUAGUUGGUGAGGUAACGGCUCACCAAGGCCACGAUGCCUAGCCGACCUGAGAGGGGGAGCGGCCACACUGGGAAUGAGACACGGCCCAGACUCCGACGGGAGGCAGCAGUAGGGAAUCUUCGGCAAUGGACGAAAGUCUGACCGAGCAACGCCGCGUGAGUGAAGAAGGUUUUCGGAUCGUAAAACUCUGUUGUUAGAGAAGCGGUAUCUAACCAGAAAGCCACGGCUAACUACGUGCCAGCCGCCGCGGUAAUAC